Molecule: transfer RNA, 73 nt
Filed under: Agrilus planipennis (emerald ash borer)
Lineage: Eukaryota; Metazoa; Arthropoda; Insecta; Coleoptera; Buprestidae
Rfam family: tRNA
About the family: Transfer RNA (tRNA) molecules are approximately 80 nucleotides in length.
Source: Rfam by way of RNAcentral
UCUCUUGUAGCUUAGUACUCGGAGCAUUGGUGCGUAAAGCCUAAGGUCUCGGGUUCUAUUCCCGGCGAGAGUG